ACGGGUGAGUAACACGUGAGUAACCUGCCCCUUACUUUUCUGGAUAACUGCUCGAAAGGGUAGCUAAUACGGGAUAUUCUGACCAUCCUGCAUGGGUUGGUUUGGAAAGGUUUUUUCUGGUAAGGGAUGGGCUCGCGGCCUAUCAGCUUGUUGGUGGGGUGAUGGCCUACCAAGGCUUUGACGGGUAGCCGGCCUGAGAGGGUGGACGGUCACACUGGGACUGAGAUACGGCCCAGACUCCUACGGGAGGCAGCAGUGGGGAAUAUUGCACAAUGGGCGCAAGCCUGAUGCAGCGACGCCGCGUGAGGGAUGAAGGCCUUCGGGUUGUAAACCUCUUUCGUCAGGGAACAAGGCACUACUUUUGGUGGUGUUGAGGGUACCUGGAUAAGAAGCGCCGGCUAACUACGUGCCAGCAGCCGCGGUAAUACGUAGGGCGCAAGCGUUGUCCGGAAUUAUUGGGCGUAAAGAGCUCGUAGGCGGCUGGUCGCGUCUGUCGUGAAAACUUCCGGCUCAACCGGGGGCUUGCGGUGGGUACGGGCCGGCUAGAGUGCGGUAGGGGUAACUGGAACUCCUGGUGUAGCGGUGGAAUGCGCAGAUAUCAGGAAGAACACCGAUGGCGAAGGCAGGUUACUGGGCCGUUACUGACGCUG
Molecule: ribosomal RNA, 650 nt
Filed under: uncultured bacterium
Lineage: Bacteria
Description: bacterial SSU rRNA
Rfam family: Bacterial small subunit ribosomal RNA
Source: RNAcentral